GAUGAAGAACGUAGCGAAAUGCGAUAAGUAAUGUGAAUUGCAGAAUUCAGUGAAUCAUUGAAUCUUUGAACGCACAUUGCGCCCCCUGGAAUUCCGGGGGGCAUGCCUGUUCGAGCGUCUCAGGGACGAACCCUCGCGCGGGUGUACGCGCGGUCGUGGCUGCGGUGGCGUGCCCGAGGCGGCGGCCACCGCGCUGGAAUCCAUGGGCGGACGCCUGCCGCGUGGCCGAGCGUGAUAUGACGCAUUGGCGCUCGCACGCGGCGAGGCUGCCAGCCCUGGCCCGUCUGUCGGGCGGGGGAGAGCAAGACACGUGAACUCCUCGAAUCAGGUAGGGAUACCCGCUGAACUUAAGCAUAUCAAUAAGCGGAGGA
RNAcentral lists this unclassified non-coding RNA (371 nucleotides) under soil metagenome. Its description in RNAcentral is "partial contains 5.8S ribosomal RNA, internal transcribed spacer 2, and large subunit ribosomal RNA". The stretch from base 1 to 120 matches the Rfam family "5.8S ribosomal RNA", at positions 35 to 154 of the family's 154-position model. The record is from RNAcentral.